Rhopalosiphum maidis (corn leaf aphid) is the source of this 533-nucleotide long non-coding RNA. RefSeq lists it as uncharacterized. The record is from RefSeq and is a predicted model, not a curated record. Lineage: Eukaryota; Metazoa; Arthropoda; Insecta; Hemiptera; Aphididae. The transcript has 2 exons.
AACACCAGUCGUUAAUUAUAUUUCAUAAUUCGUCCGCGUUUUAUUGUGUCAACGAGUGUGUUGCAUUGACUGUGCGUUUUCGUGGGCUGCUAAUUGACACGUCGUUGCAUUGCACCCUCGUAGUUGUAGUCAGUCACUCUUUUUUUAAAACUAAUACUUAUGGUUGAAAAUGAGCAAAGUGAAAUAUUUAAAAAAACAACAAUAAAAUGGUUAUUGAUUAAUGAAAAUUAAAAACACAUAGGAAGUUGGCUUCACGCGUAUAAGAAUGGUUCUUUCGACAACAAGAUCAAUUUAGGUCAAUAUUUUACAGGAUAUAAUUUAAUUGUCCUUAGUUUUUCCAUUUUACCAGCACUUCAUCACUAUACGGCAUAUUAUAACAUUAAGUUCAACAGAAAUUCGUCAGCGGAGCGCAAUUAUUAUUCUGCGUAAAUACGAUACCUGCUGCAGACUUGACGCGGAUCGAUAUACAGCGAUAAUAUCGUGUCGCUGUACAUCAUGAACGAAUACCGCGACAUCUGAUGUGAUUUGGGAGA